This 468-nucleotide ribosomal RNA is filed under the name uncultured bacterium. RNAcentral's name for it is "partial 16S ribosomal RNA". It matches the Rfam family "Bacterial small subunit ribosomal RNA", at positions 28 to 507 of the family's 1533-position model. The record is from RNAcentral.
GAUGAACGCUGGCGGCGUGCCUAAUACAUGCAAGUCGAACGGACAGGCCCUGCUCUUGUUCCGUGCUCGUGAGGGGAACGCGUGAGUAUAACGCGUGUAACCCCUCCCUGUAAUUGGGAUAUAACUUCGGAACUGCGGCUCUUAUCCGGUAGGAGCUCUUGCUCCGCGGUGGGGGUUGGAAAGUUUCGGUGGUUGGGGCUGGACUCGAUGCAUAUCCGCUGCUUGGUGUGGUAGGGGAUUACCAAGGCUUCGACGGGUAGCCGGCCUGAGAGGGUGACCGGCCACAUUGGGACUGAGAUACGGCCCAGACUCCUACGGGAGGCAGCAGUGGGGAGUAUUGCACAAUGGGCGGAAGCCUGAUGCAGCAACGCCGCGUGCGGGAUGACGGCCUUCGGGUUGUAAACCGCUUUCGCCUGUGACGAGGCGUGAGUGACGGUAAUGGGUAAAGAAGCACCGGCUAACUACGUG